This is a small nucleolar RNA of Eptesicus fuscus (big brown bat), 133 nucleotides long. RefSeq annotates it as small nucleolar RNA SNORA64/SNORA10 family. NCBI's taxonomy places the organism in Eukaryota, Metazoa, Chordata, Mammalia, Chiroptera, Vespertilionidae. The record is from RefSeq and is a predicted model, not a curated record. The transcript has a single exon.
ACUCUCCCAGCUCUGCACUGUUACACUUGUUUUCACACGUGUGACUUUCGUAAUGGGGAGAGAGAGAAAGGACCUCCUCAGGACCUCAGGUUGGCCUCACAGUGGCCAACCUUUCCCUGAGGGCGCAACAGGC